This 447-nucleotide ribosomal RNA is filed under the name uncultured bacterium. RNAcentral describes it as "partial 16S ribosomal RNA". It matches the Rfam family "Bacterial small subunit ribosomal RNA", at positions 29 to 523 of the family's 1533-position model. The record is from RNAcentral.
AGCGAACGCUGGCGGCAGGCUUAACACAUGCAAGUCGAACGGUCCUUCGGGAUAGUGGCGGACGGGUGAGUAACACGUGGGAACGUACCCUUAGGUUCGGAACAACACAGGGAAACUUGUGCUAAUACCGGAUAAGCCCUUCGGGGGAAAGAUUUAUCGCCUUUGGAGCGGCCCGCGUCUGAUUAGCUUGUUGGCGAGGUAAUGGCUCACCAAGGCUACGAUCAGUAGCUGGUCUGAGAGGAUGGCCAGCCACACUGGGACUGAGACACGGCCCAGACUCCUACGGGAGGCAGCAGUGGGGAAUCUUGCGCAAUGGGCGAAAGCCGGACGCAGCCAUGCCGCGUGGAUGAUGAAGGUCUUAGGAUUGUAAAAUCCUUUCACCGGGGACGAUAAUGACGGUACCCGGAGAAGAAGCCCCGGCUAACUUCGUGCCAGCCGCCGCGGUAA